RNAcentral lists this ribosomal RNA (425 nucleotides) under uncultured bacterium. Its description in RNAcentral is "bacterial SSU rRNA". It matches the Rfam family "Bacterial small subunit ribosomal RNA", at positions 354 to 796 of the family's 1533-position model. The record is from RNAcentral.
GUGGGGAAUCUUGCACAAUGGGGGCAACCCUGAUGCAGCGACGCCGCGUGAGUGAUGAAGCCCUUCGGGGCGUAAAGCUCUUUCGGCAGGGACGAUUAUGACGGUACCUGCAGAAGCAGCUGCGGCUAACUACGUGCCAGCAGCCGCGGUAAUACGUAGGCAGCAAGCGUUGUUCGGAGUUACUGGGCGUAAAGGGUGCGUAGGCGGCUUUUUAAGUUUGGUGUGAAAUCUCCUGGCUUAACCGGGAGGGUGCGCCGAAUACUGAGAAGCUAGAGUACGGGAGAGGAAAGUGGAAUUCCUGGUGUAGCGGUGAAAUGCGUAGAUAUCAGGAGGAACACCUGUGGUGUAGACGGCUUUCUGGACCGUAACUGACGCUGAGGCACGAAAGCGUGGGUAGCAAACAGGAUUAGAUACCCUAGUAGUCC